AGGACGAACGCUGGCGGCGUGCUUAACACAUGCAAGUGGAGCGACGAACCAGGGCUUGCCCUGGGGCAGAGCCGCGAACGGGUGAGUAACACGUGGGUUACCUGCCUCGAUGACCGGGACAACCCGAGGAAACUCGGGCUAAUACCGGAUGUGCCCGCAAGGGGAAAGGAAGCUUCGGCCUCCGCAUCGAGAUGGGCCCGCGGCCCAUUAGCUUGUUGGUGAGGUAACGGCUCACCAAGGCUUCGAUGGGUAGCUGGUCUGAGAGGACGAUCAGCCACACUGGGACUGAGACACGGCCCAGACUCCUACGGGAGGCAGCAGUGGGGAAUCUUGCGCAAUGCGCGAAAGCGUGACGCAGCAACGCCGCGUGGGGGAAGAAGGCUUUCGGGUUGUAAACCCCUUUCAGUUGGGACGAAGCUUCGCCGGUGAAUAGCCGGCCGGAGUGACGGUACCUUCACAAGAAGCACCGGCUAACUACGUGCCAGCAGCCGCGGU
RNAcentral lists this ribosomal RNA (495 nucleotides) under uncultured bacterium. RNAcentral describes it as "SSU rRNA". It matches the Rfam family "Bacterial small subunit ribosomal RNA", at positions 26 to 521 of the family's 1533-position model. The record is from RNAcentral.